GGGGAAGUAGCUCAGUGGUAGAGUGCUUGCCUUGCAUGCAUGAGGCCCUGGGUUCGAUUCCUCAGCACCA
Molecule: transfer RNA, 70 nt
Filed under: Dipodomys ordii (Ord's kangaroo rat)
Lineage: Eukaryota; Metazoa; Chordata; Mammalia; Rodentia; Heteromyidae
Rfam family: tRNA
About the family: Transfer RNA (tRNA) molecules are approximately 80 nucleotides in length. Their secondary structure includes four short double-helical elements and three loops (D, anti-codon, and T loops).
Source: Rfam by way of RNAcentral